This 2559-nucleotide long non-coding RNA is filed under the name Salvator merianae (Argentine black and white tegu). Its description in RNAcentral is "lncRNA (ENSSMRG00000000226.1)". Lineage: Eukaryota; Metazoa; Chordata; Lepidosauria; Squamata; Teiidae. The record is from RNAcentral.
UGAAGAAUCCCUGGAUUCUAUGCAGCCAUGAUCUGCACCCUGAAUGAAAGAUGAAGUGGCUUAUGGCAUGGAAAAGAAAGAAAGAAAGAAAGGAAGGAAGGAAGGAAGGAAGGAAGGAAGGAAGGAAGGAAGGAAGGAAGGAAGGAAGGAGACUUUAUCCUUGCUUGUUCAGCUAGCAAUUUUGAGCUCCUUCAAAACCCUGAGAUCGUUCUUUUCUCCCCCUUGUCUUAUCAGGUACUAUGCUUUCUAUUCAGAGGCAAGUCUGAGUCUCAGAAAAGCACAUAAACCUGAAAGCACGUCUAUGUUCCGCUAUCUCCCCAUGAAAGAGCCACUGAACGGGAAAGAGCUGAAAGGAUUCAUGGACGCUAGGAAAACCCUGAAUGGUACCAUUGUAGCCCUAGGGGUCACAUUGACAACACAGGAUUUGUUGCAUUUGAUACAAGAGUCCCAUUGCUGAAAUGCAGGUCAUUCUUUAAUUAUAAAACCAUCUCAUCUCUAUGGCAGUGAAAACAAUCAUGUGCAUCUUCCUGCACUCCUUCCUGCACUUCUUCUUUCUUUAAGUAAAUUUUGGAUGUGAUAUUCAGCACAAGCAAAGUGGAUCAAAAGUCUGAAUAUAACAAGGAAGGCACAGAGAGUGAGGGUUUUAGGCAGUAUUCAGACAGUCUAGUGGAAAUGCCACUGCACCAUCGCUGAAGUGACAUGAUCCGUCAGACUGGCUUGUCUCUGGAGUGAUGCUGCCCAGCUGCAGAAUGGAGCAUGGCCAGCAGGCACUGGCUAGCGUUUGACCACCAUGUUGGCCUGUUGGGUUUUCCAGUUCAUCGGAACACCGGCUCUUUGGGGGGGUGUUGCCAUUUCAGAUGACAAAACAAUGCACUAUCAACAUAUACCACAUUGCUAGGGAAUAUGACAGCUAGACAGCCCAAUUUAGGAUAUUUGUUGUUAUUAGCAAAUGUGUAUUCAUAAACUUUUGUUAGUCAAUUUAUUAGUAAUUUUUUAUUGGUGGGGCAGGACUGACUAAGAGAGAGUUAACAAGGCCCAGAAGACCAGCAAAUGUAUGAUAAGUGUCUGAGGUAUCACUGAUAGUCACAUCUUCUGUUAGGAAAUAACUAGUAAAUUCUGCACAGAGGACAGGAGGUGAUUAGAGAAAGUGGAUCAUAUCGACUAUCAAGGCCAAGCCAAGGAGCUUUGGUGCCCUAAAGGAAGUCUGACCUCGAAAGCUCCUCCAAACUGAUACAGACAAGAAGGCAUGAGGCCUGCUUUGUAGUCCGACUAUGUGCUUCUGGCAUUUCACUGGCUAUUGCUCACCAGCUACAUGUUUCAAAUAACAGAAAGAAGGUGUAGGUUGAUCUACAAAAUGUCCCAUGAACUGCAUUUCUAUUCGUCUAGCACACAAAAUCAAGAAAAAAUUGUCUGUAAUUUGCCCCUGCUUAAACCUUAGUAUGAAGGUCCAUUGACUAGUUUGUUUGUACUGUUGAGCUGGUUCUGCUGGUCAUCGUUAUCACCCUCGAGCUGGAACGAGAGGACAAACUAGGUGUGUGUGGAAAAAUAACCAAGAAAAGCAAGCAGAGAGCCAGCUACAGUUUUGGAAUGUAGACAAAGAUGUGAAAUUUGGAAUGCUGUAACUAAUGGCAUGUUUGCGUGUUUCCCACUCAUGUGAGAGUGAGUUACAUAGUUUAUCCAGCAGUGUAAAGAUACAAUUAAGAUUAGAUAUUAUUAAGAUGUUAAUAGUCUGACUAAAAAUACAGAUUAAUGAGAAGGCAUGCUAGAUGUUUCUCUCUGAAAACCCAGUUGGUGCCUACUGUAUGGUUUAGGCUAUGCCAUCACCUAUAUAUAAGUCCUGACCUAUAUAAGUCCAAAUAAUCUUGAGUAGUGACUUUCUUUUGAAGGAAACCAAGGCCGCGUCUCCAUGGUGCCAGCUUCAGCACAGGAUUGGGCCUACCUGACAGUCCUUCUUGCCUUCAGGCAGCCUCAGGAAGGGGUUUGAUGGCUCCACUGCCAUCUCUGAGGCUGUCAUCUUGAACUCUUUGUGCCAGCUCUCAGAGGGCNUCCUUGCCCACCCUGUGCAGACGCAAAGGGCUGGCAUGGGCACGCCUUUAUCACUGUGAAGACCAGCGUCAGUGUGCAACAAGCACCUUCAAAAACGGCACUGAAGUUUUCAGAGCUUAGAGAGGGAUUAAAAUCACUCCACGCGCCUUGGUGUGAGAUGCUGUGGAAACGACCUGACUUCAGGGUGCAUUCAAGCAGUUUUGAAAGCUGCGUGGGGUUGUGGCCCAAGUCUAGGGAAGUCUCUGGAAUUUUCCUUCAAUCAGAGAAACAGGGAUAUGUAUAAUAUGAUGAAGGAAGAAUUCCUGAUAUUCUUUCUUUUCUAAUGAUAGUUUUAUGAGCCAGUCAGUUCAGAAUGGUCCCAUAUAGAACACAAUCACACACUGCCCGAUUUAUUCAUUUUUAUCUUCAAAAUAUAAAUACGUAUUUUCCUAGUUAUUUUCCUUUUCCCUAUGUGCAGGUCUCAGUAAUUAGUCAGAAAACUUUUGACUUCAAUAAAUGUCAAAUACCACAGCA